GAGUAAGAAGCGACUAUUUGCACUCAGUUUCGACCUGAUCCUAGGUAUUAACUUACCCUUACUUU
Molecule: transfer RNA, 65 nt
Filed under: Dinocras cephalotes
Lineage: Eukaryota; Metazoa; Arthropoda; Insecta; Plecoptera; Perlidae
Description: tRNA-Arg
Source: RNAcentral